UAUCUCUGUAGAGUCUGCAUAUCAAUAAGCGGAGGAAAAGAAACUAACUAGGAUUCCCUCAGUAACGGCGAGUGAAGCGGGAAGAGCUCAAAUUUGAAAUCUUCAAGGUUCUACCUUGACGAAUUGUAGUUUAAAGAAGUGUUUUCUGUUGGAGUUUUGGUAAAAGUUCUUUGGAAUAGGACAUCAUAGAGGGUGAGAAUCCCGUAUUUGACCAUUACUUCCAGCGUUGUGAUACACUUUCAAAGAGUCGGAUUGUUUGGGAAUGCAGUCCAAAAUGGGUGGUAAAUUUCAUCUAAAGCUAAAUAUUGGCGAGAGACCGAUAGCGAACAAGUACCGUGAGGGAAAGAUGAAAAGAACUUUGAAAAGAGAGUUAAACAGUACGUGAAAUUGUCAAAAGGGAAGCGUUUGACACCAGUGUUGUUUUCUCGAAAAUCAAUUAAAAAAGUGGGAUUUUGUAUUGUUAUGACCUUAUCAGCUUUACUGUACUCUUUUCUUGUCUUUUUUUAAUGCACUUUUCGUUUAACAAGUCAACAUCAAUUUCUCUUGUUGUAAAAAGGGUCAUUGGAAGGUGGCUUUCUUUUCGGAGAAAGUGUUUAUAGCCUUUGCCUCUGCAAUCGGAGAGAUUGAGGUCUGCAGCGUAGAUCCUUCUGGAUUAGAUACAUUUGUGCUAAGUUAUAGCCUUUCAUAGACAACUUGUUGACUAUGAUUAGUCAUGUAGCUUACUCGCUUAUGCUAUUUUACCUACGCUUAGGAUGUUGAUAGUCACAGCGUGUAC
Molecule: ribosomal RNA, 775 nt
Filed under: uncultured Neocallimastigales
Lineage: Eukaryota; Fungi; Neocallimastigomycota; Neocallimastigomycetes; Neocallimastigales
Description: partial large subunit ribosomal RNA
Rfam family: Eukaryotic large subunit ribosomal RNA
Source: RNAcentral